This 451-nucleotide ribosomal RNA is filed under the name uncultured bacterium. Its description in RNAcentral is "bacterial SSU rRNA". It matches the Rfam family "Bacterial small subunit ribosomal RNA", at positions 29 to 524 of the family's 1533-position model. The record is from RNAcentral.
AACGAACGCUGGCGGCAGGCCUAACACAUGCAAGUCGAACGCCCUAGCAAUAGGGAGUGGCAGACGGGUGAGUAACACGUGGGAACCUUCCCUAUAGUAUGGAAUAGCCCAGGGAAACUUGGAGUAAUACCGUAUACGCCCGAGAGGGGAAAGAUUUAUCGCUAUAGGAUGGGCCCGCGUAGGAUUAGCUAGUUGGUGAGGUAAUGGCUCACCAAGGCGACGAUCCUUAGCUGGUCUGAGAGGACGACCAGCUACACUGGGACUGAGACACGGCCCAGACUCCUACGGGAGGCAGCAGUGGGGAAUAUUGCACAAUGGGCGAAAGCCUGAUGCAGCGACGCCGCGUGGAGGAUUAAGGAUUUCGGUCUGUAAACUCCUGUCAGUAGGGAAGAGAAUGGACGGUACCUACUGAGGAAGCUUCGGCUAACUACGUGCCAGCAGCCGCGGUAAU